RNAcentral lists this long non-coding RNA (302 nucleotides) under Ailuropoda melanoleuca (giant panda). Its description in RNAcentral is "lncRNA (ENSAMEG00000028483.1)". Lineage: Eukaryota; Metazoa; Chordata; Mammalia; Carnivora; Ursidae. The record is from RNAcentral.
CCCCGCGCGGGUCCGUGUGCCGCCAGCCUGUUCCCGCACGGACGCGCUUUGCCCCCAGGCCCGGACUUGGGGCUGGGAGGGUGUCCCCGGAACCCUCCACGCACCCACACUGCCCCGGCCCUCCCCGAGAGCCGCCUCCGCCGCGCAGCCCGGGCAAAAGCGGUAGCCCUGGGAGGGUGCUCUUGAAGUCUGGGCAGAGGAGAGGGGUCCGACCUGUUCCAAUGAAGUUACGUAGCUGGACGCUGGUGAUUGCCUGUUUCUUCAAAGGAGCUCCAUCCAGGUACUUUCAGCAGGGAAGUUGA